RNAcentral lists this long non-coding RNA (1818 nucleotides) under Nicotiana tabacum (common tobacco). RNAcentral describes it as "long non-coding RNA (NTAB_LNC013854)". The record is from RNAcentral. Lineage: Eukaryota; Viridiplantae; Streptophyta; Magnoliopsida; Solanales; Solanaceae.
AGAUUUUCCAGGCAAGUUAAACUCAUCUAAUCUGAUUCGAACUUAUAAUAAAACUUCCACAGGUUCAACAAGACUAAAAAUAAACUCAAAGAAAUGAUGUAAGUACAUACUCAAUAAUCCCCUCCAUAUGGUAACUCAACAGUAAAAUGGAGGUUCACGCCUCAACCAUUAAACACAAUCACAGAAGAGAUAAAGAUGAAGAGAUGGGCCUUAAUUACAUGAAUCAUAUACAAGUCUCUAUCUAUUAGGAACCACACACCAUCUAAAUCAAAUCCCACAUAAUAUUAGCUAGACAAAGAAAGAGUUACAUGAAUUAAUUAAAAACAUGAGAGCUACUUUAUUGAAAUAACACAGCUAUAUCAACCUAAAUCGUUCACAUCUUCUGCUGCUCAAAGUUUCAGAGUAGUACCUGAAUACAGCAAUCAACAACAAAAGAAAAUGUGUUUAGGAUCAACAAAAGUGAGAGAUUCAGCAGCAGCAGCAGCAGUAUGUCAACACUUCAACACAUCAAUUUCAACUUCCUUAGACCCAAAUGAACCAGAACUUUUUUGUGUAUUUUCAGAGUAUGAAUGGCCGCUCAAAAUGAAAGGAAAGAGGUUUUUAUAUAGGCAUGCCUAAGGCAGCCCUAGCCUAGCUAACCAUUUCCCCUUUACCCCUUGAAUUCUUGGUUGUUUUACCCCUUUUAACCCUUCAAAAUAUCUGAAACCCCCCUUCUUUUAACAAACCAACUCUAAACUUAUCCUCUAGAAGCUUCCUCCCAACAGAAAAUGAUUCCCUACCCUCAAAUACCUAAAACAUCCUUGACACCCUUGCAAUUUAUAUUCAAGAAAUCAACAUGGGUCAAAUUUGACCCCAAGACCCCAAACCAAAAACUUGGGCUUGUCUGGCCCAACGGGACUGAACCAAUCAACCCAAAAGAAAACUUAGGCAUCAAAAUCUGAGUGUUAACCUUAAGACUUACUGAUUUCAAUUAAACAAACGAUAUUAAAUUAAUUAAAGCAAAUUGUGGCUGACCUUGAACUAAGACAUGUUGAAAAUGUAUCAAUGAUUAACUAAUUCGAACAAACUGGAUAACAACAACUAAUCAGGGCAAAUAAAUAACACAAACAAAUUCAGAUGAACAACUUUAAAAUUGAAAGAAAAAACCAUAAAACAAACGGAACAAAAGCAAACCAUAGAAAAUCAAAGAGAAUAAAUGACGAAUUGGCUAAGUCCAAACAUUAUUCCUUCAUUACUUUUUUCGGCCAGAAGAAGAGGAACAUGAAGAAACUGAUUAAAGAAAUGUGGAAGAAAAGGAAAGAAAAUAGAAGGAGAAUCACAGAAAUGGGUAGAGGGAAAAAGAAGAGAAAAUACCUAGUGAUUAACUUGAAGAAACUCCGGCUUCUUCGAUUCAAACCCAAAACUAAUGUUAGUCGCAUGUUCUUUGUCAAGAACAAACGACCAACAUCAAUUUCACAUUAAAUCAGCCCUGGUACUUAAAGGCUUGACUCUUAACUUUGCACACUACAGAUCUAAAGUCAGGGUAAAUUUGGGGCUUUAACGUUUCGGGGUAUUGAUUUUAGAUCUAAAAUUCGAGAAGAUUGAGAGGGAUUCGAGGGACAGGGUUAGGUAUUGUGAGAGAGGAGGUUACAGGGAUUCUAGGGUGUAAUUUUGGGGCAGAUUAGGGCUACGCCGCCGGCGGAGAUAGUGGAGAACUUUAGGGUGGCGCUAGGGUUUUCAGUCUCUGAGCAUAGAGACGAGGAAUGAAGGGGGAGUGUAAUGGGGGGGCUUUGGUUCCGACACUUAAAUACCGACGGGAGCCUUAGUUCCCAACCAUUU